UUUUACAAGCAGAACUUUGAAAAUCACUAUGCAGUCCAAUUUACUCAGCCUUUACUUUGAGAAAGAGAUGCUGAGAAAGAUGGGCCCUGCUCUGCUCCUGGGAGUGAUUGUGCCUCAAGAUAACGUCUGCCGCUGCCGCCGCCAUGUUGGGAUCAUCACCCAGGAAGUUUCCUCUUGCCCCUUCCUGCCAGCACAGCUCUCCAAACAAGCACUUUUCUGUUUUCAGUCUUCCAUCACGUUUCCUCUUCAAUGCUUUAUAUAAUGAGGUCAUUCCAUACGUCGUAUUUGUGUCCAUUUUCUUUUCUUCAACAGAGACUCAUCACGGUGUUGUGGGAUGCAGCGUCUGUUACCUGUUAUUGCUGAGCGUGUUCCGUUGCGUGAAUAAACCACAAAGCGUUUCUUCACUGGCCCGUUGAUGGACGUUUGAGUAGUUUCCAGUUUGGGGCUACUAUGAAGAGAGCUACGAUGUUUUUGUAUCAGGUUUAUGAUGAACUGAUAAAAUGAAUUGUGAAGUGUUCCCUCCUUCUCUAUCUUCUUAAAGACUUUGUGUAAGGAGGGAGUUAUGCAAACAUGCAUUCUAGAUCUUUUUUCUCAGAAGUCCUAACACAAUGUUUUUAAUAAAUCCUCGUUCAACAAAUGAAUUAACAACUAACAGG
This is a long non-coding RNA of Equus caballus (horse), 656 nucleotides long. RefSeq lists it as uncharacterized. The record is from RefSeq and is a predicted model, not a curated record. NCBI's taxonomy places the organism in Eukaryota, Metazoa, Chordata, Mammalia, Perissodactyla, Equidae.